This 477-nucleotide ribosomal RNA is filed under the name uncultured bacterium. RNAcentral describes it as "partial 16S ribosomal RNA". It matches the Rfam family "Bacterial small subunit ribosomal RNA", at positions 28 to 507 of the family's 1533-position model. The record is from RNAcentral.
GAUGAACGCUGGCGGCGUGCCUAACACAUGCGAGUCGAACGAAGCGCCUUACCGGAUUCUUCGGAUGAAGGUCUGGUGACUGAGUGGCGGACGGGUGAGUAACGCGUGGGUAACCUGCCCUGUACAGGGGGAUAACAGCUGGAAACGGCUGCUAAUACCGCAUAAGCGCACGAGGAGACAUCUCCUUGUGUGAAAAACUCCGGUGGUACAGGAUGGGCCCGCGUCUGAUUAGCUGGUUGGCAGGGUAACGGCCUACCAAGGCAACGAUCAGUAGCCGGUCUGAGAGGAUGAACGGCCACAUUGGAACUGAGACACGGUCCAAACUCCUACGGGAGGCAGCAGUGGGGAAUAUUGCACAAUGGGGGAAACCCUGAUGCAGCAACGCCGCGUGAGUGAAGAAGUAUUUCGGUAUGUAAAGCUCUAUCAGCAGGGAAGAUAAUGACGGUACCUGACUAAGAAGCUCCGGCUAAAUACGUG